This 885-nucleotide long non-coding RNA is filed under the name Mus spicilegus (steppe mouse). RNAcentral's name for it is "lncRNA (ENSMSIG00000030284.1)". The record is from RNAcentral. Lineage: Eukaryota; Metazoa; Chordata; Mammalia; Rodentia; Muridae.
UGGUGCAUUGUAUAAAGUCUCUCAAGAAGGCAUUUGGAACGGUUUCACUAUAAGGAAAUGGGCUGAAGGCCGGUUUAGCAAGUGCAGGAUGUGAACUUGAUCAUCUCCGGCACCACAAAAAAGAAAAAAGGAUAUGCUUAUCCUAUUUUAAAUAUUACCAAGUGUGUGCAUGUACCAAACACCAUAUGGUGCCCUAUAAGUGUGCACAGUCCUUAUGGUUUAACAAAUCAGUUAAAAGUGAAAAAUUAAAAUUAAAAAAAAAAGAUUGAACCAAAAGAACAUGCUCUUGGUCUUUCUAAGGUAGAGUGCCAGUCUCCAUUGCAAACAGUGGCCCUUGAAAGAGCAAGCUUCAAGGAAGGACAGGCAGGGGGGGGGGGGGCAUCCUGAAGCCUGUCAGAACCGUGGGCCUUAUCCAAAGUGAAAAAGUAGCUGUCGCUUGUUAGAGCAGAGUCCUCGGCACAGUGUGUCCGUCCUGUUUGGAAGUGUUCCCAAAAGGACUCGUGAGCUCUGUGCCAUCAAGUACUUCCCUUCAUCAAGCUGAGGAGAGCCUUCUGGUGCGAAGUGCACUGAACUACCAGGGUGCUUGCCCCAGCAGACCACAGCAAAGUGACCUCGCUUCUGGAGGUGUCAGAAGAUUCCAUCCACGGAGGCAGAGGCAAUUAAGUCAGAGCCCUUUGACUAUCCUUCCCAAUCCAAGACUGCGCUCAAGAUGAAGCGUUGGCAAAUUGCGGUCCAGAGUGGGCCAAUCCUGUCACAAGUCGAGCAUGGCCUUUAUGUCUCUCAAUGGGGAAAAAAAAAUCAAGAACAAAGUCAUACUUUGUGAUUCAUGGAAAUGAUCUGACUUCAGAUUUCAGUGUCUACAAAUAAAGUUUUAUUGGAAUACCA